AGAGUUUGAUCAUGGCUCAGGAUGAACGCUGGCGGCGUGCCUAACACAUGCAAGUCGAGCGAAGCACAUUUGCGGAUUUUUUCGGAAUGAAGCGUUUGUGACUGAGCGGCGGACGGGUGAGUAACGCGUGGGGAACCUGCCUCAUACAGGGGGAUAACAGUUGGAAACGACUGCUAAUACCGCAUAAGCGCACGGGAACGCAUGUUUCUGUGUGAAAAGCCGAGACGGUAUGAGAUGGACCCGCGUUAGAUUAGCCAGUUGGCGGGGUAACGGCCCACCAAAGCGACGAUCUAUAGCCGGCCUGAGAGGGCGACCGGCCACAUUGGGACUGAGACACGGCCCAAACUCCUACGGGAGGCAGCAGUGGGGAAUAUUGCACAAUGGGGGAAACCCUGAUGCAGCGACGCCGCGUGAGCGAAGAAGUAUUUCGGUAUGUAAAGCUCUAUCAGCAGGGAAGAAGAUGACGGUACCUGACUAAGAAGCCCCGGCUAACUACGUGCCAGCAGCCGCGGUAAUACGUAGGGGGCAAGCGUUAUCCGGAUUUACUGGGUGUAAAGGGAGCGCAGACGGUUUUGCAAGUCUGGAGUGAAAACCCGGGGCUCAACCCCGGGACUGCUUUGGAAACUGUGGGACUGGAGUACCGGAGGGGUAAGCGGAAUUCCUAGUGUAGCGGUGAAAUGCGUAGAUAUUAGGAGGAACACCAGUGGCGAAGGCGGCUUACUGGACGGUAACUGACGUUGAGGCUCGAAAGCGUGGGGAGCAAACAGGAUUAGAUACCCUGGUAGUCCACGCCGUAAACG
RNAcentral lists this ribosomal RNA (800 nucleotides) under uncultured bacterium. Its description in RNAcentral is "bacterial SSU rRNA". It matches the Rfam family "Bacterial small subunit ribosomal RNA", at positions 8 to 808 of the family's 1533-position model. The record is from RNAcentral.